This is a small nuclear RNA of Colobus angolensis palliatus, 105 nucleotides long. NCBI's taxonomy places the organism in Eukaryota, Metazoa, Chordata, Mammalia, Primates, Cercopithecidae. The record is from Ensembl.
AUGCUUGCUUCAGCAGCACAUAUACUAAAAUUGGAAUGAUACAGAGAAGAUUAGCAUGGCCCCUGUGCAAGGAUGAUGCAAAUUCAUGAAAUGUUCCAUAUUUUU